GACGAACGCUGGCGGCGUGCUUAACACAUGCAAGUCGAACGGAAAGGCCCUGCUUUUGUGGGGUGCUCGAGUGGCGAACGGGUGAGUAACACGUGAGUAACCUGCCCUUGACUUUGGGAUAACUUCAGGAAACUGGGGCUAAUACCGGAUAGGUGCUCCUGCUGCAUGGUGGGGGUUGGAAAGUUUCGGCGGUUGGGGAUGGACUCGCGGCUUAUCAGCUUGUUGGUGGGGUAGUGGCUUACCAAGGCUUUGACGGGUAGCCGGCCUGAGAGGGUGACCGGCCACAUUGGGACUGAGAGACGGCCGAGACUCCGAAGGGAGGCAGCAGUGGGGAAUAUUGCACAAUGGGCGGAAGCCUGAUGCAGCAACGCCGCGUGCGGGAUGACGGCCUUAGGGUUGUAAACCGCUUUCGCCUGUGACGAAGCGUGAGUGACGGUAAUGGGUAAAGAAGCACCGGCUAACUACGUG
Molecule: ribosomal RNA, 468 nt
Filed under: uncultured bacterium
Lineage: Bacteria
Description: partial 16S ribosomal RNA
Rfam family: Bacterial small subunit ribosomal RNA
Source: RNAcentral